ACCGUGUGACGUUGGCUCGCAGAAAGGUGCUAGCCGUCGACGAGACUGGUGUUGUUUUUCCGCUUCGCCCCGAACCCUUCGUGUGGCUCGAGACUCUACCACUCCCGCUAGCCCCCGUUGUGCUGUGUGUGUGUGUGUACGAGUGUGAGUGUGUGUGUUUGUGCGUAGUGAGGGUUACUAUUGUUCCCUUUCAUAACGUGCAGAAAGUGCUUACCACGAUGCAUGGAAAACCAGCACCAGUUGAGACAGCUAUGCAUCUUUUCUGCAUCCUAACUCUGCUCUUCCACGGUAGAAAUCUUUACGGGACCUGAGACAAUUGCAUUUCUAGACGGCUUUUCGGAUACACAUAUACUAAUUUGCCGGGUUGCCAACGAUGCACAUCCUUCUCGACCUGACAGCGAGUCAAGAGAGCGAGAGCUUUACCGGAGAACUUUACCAUAAUGGGGCGUACAAAUUGGCGACAAACGACAUGGGAGGCGAGGAGCGCGAUGAGAUGGGAAAAAACACACCAUCACCAUCUGCCAAGUUGUUUGCAAGGCGGGUAUACCAUGGGGAUUAUUAAUUACGCACAUGUUUGUUCGUGGCAAAAGGGAUUUUUGCUUUCUUUGACAGCCAAACCUACUCCUUCUCUACUGUGUCCGCCCCCUUCCCUGUGUGACCGUGAACCGGCCCAGCACUGCAACUCUGUAUAUGGCACCACACUCUAGCUGCUAGACUCUGUUGUGGUUGUGUGGAGGGCAGCUGCGCGCUUGUAAAGCAUUACGCGGAACAUUCCCAACUGGAGGCGAACUUUCACUUGGGCCCCCACCACCCUGACCUUCGUAGAUAUGACGCCUCCUAUUCAACGCACCCUAAGUAUCACUACUCAAUCUCCAAGUGUGAGUUUUGGCAAUGCUCGGUGAGAAGUGAGUCACCUACUUUGUACGAAGAAAGACACGUAUUUUCACUCUCCAACUUAGGAGUGUUUGAAAUAUGAUUAUGUGUGAUCGCAUUUUCGCAUCCACAUUAGCUGCGCGCCUACGUGUGCAAGCAAGAAAAAAAACCCCGAAAUACGUAACCCUUUUUUCUUCACCUUCGUUUCUCACAUCUCACCGAGUGAAGGAUUAUUAUUUUUUUAUAGUGUCGUUUUUCUGUAAACGACUCAGAAGUAGUUUUGUGAAAUCAUAUACGAGUCACAUGACUCGCUUAAUGCACGAUAAGCGUUUAGCUACCUUUUUAUAGAUGCGGUCGUCGAAAUGGUAUUGUUGGGCUGUGUGUGCGUCAGGGGCAUACACGUAUGAGUUUCUCGGCUAGACUUGAAGGGCGUCCGUCGGCGUGCACAUCUCUGCCUGUGAGGACGAGAUUUUUGUACCGACCAGAGGCGGAAACUGCGGCAGCGGUCGUGUUUUUGGAUUCGUGCGUACGGCAUCCCGUGGUUAGCCCGACUACCCUGGCCGCUUCGAUUGCUCGCGCGCAGUUGGGAAGGAGGACGUGUGGGACUCGAACCGGGAUCGUGGUGCGGCCGACCCCUCUAGAAUGAUACUGCUUCGUCGAGAAGAAGGGAUUUGUUACUCAGUCACACGUGUGCGGCUAAGCAGCGCGCUGAAUGUCUUCUGCCUGAAAGGAAUGCACCGACAUGGACCACACUUCUGGCGCAAGCGCUUAGGCGUACCGACGAUCGAAUGGAACGGAACUGUGUGCCACCAGAGCUGACGCACGCUGUGCAACGAUUUUUACGAUGCAUUACGUCAUCGUGAUUGCGUCCAGAAUGCGCGUGAUGUACUGAUGUCAGGAAAUACAGGCAAUCGACCGGACGCAACGGAAUUGCGUCUGUCGUUAGUCGACGACCAUUUUUGAGCACGUGAGCAACCAUGGCGGCAAUCGUUAAAUCAACACACUGGUUGCAGCUUGCUGCUGCUGUCUGCUUUAUCUCACUCUACCUGUUUUUGGGGGAAUCGACGGAUCUGCUGCCUUUUCUUUGGCACUACAACUUCGAGAGGCGUUGGCCCGUCAUUUGCUGGCUUCUUUGACUUGAUAUCCCGGAGGCCGGCCCCGAUCAGUCAGUCAAUCCUCGAUACCGGAGGAACGCUCCGGAGAUAGGAUUUUUACAAACUGUGGACGACGGAGCGCAAUAAUGGAGCGAAUUAUCGCGAAUUUCAUCCCCUCGUCGUGUAAGGAAGACGACGGUACGCACACAUCUUUCAUAUCUGCUCACCUCUUCCCUGCGAUCGGUCUUCACCUGAUGAUGUCCGCGGCACAAUGAGUGCGUGUCGGUUAUGUGUCUAGCUUCCCUACCCUGUUUUACGGUCAGUGUUGAUGGUUGGCGGAGGAUUUUGAAGGAAGGUUCGCUCGGAAAAGCCCAAGCAAGCGUGAAGAGGAUGCUGAUAGUCGCGAGAAGAUGGGCUCUCAUCGAUGGUUUGGGUUUUGGUUCCGGAUUUUGGGCAGCGGGAAGGCGGGUUCCUGGUGGAGGCGAGGCGGCGGGCGGUGCUGGAGGAGAUGGUUUUGCUCGGCAAGCGAGAAGAACCUCCUGUACACGGACGGUGUCGGAGCAGGUGGCCAUGCGAGAAGAGAGCAAACACCCAACGACGUUUUCCAGGCGGAGUUUUCGGGAGAUGAUCGGCGAGAUGUUUUACGUUUUCAAUCAUGGUUUAAAGAUCGGUGAUGUAGAUCAACCUUUUUUUUGGGGGCGAAUUUGCUAAUGCAACAACGUAUCCCGAAUAAUCAGAAGUGAUUUUUAUGUGACAUUUCUGAGAAUCUUGGCCAGAAGAUGGACAAUGCAUGAUUCGACGCACCUUUGCGUUUAACCCCCCUGCACGAGCUGAGAUUUCCCGGACAACGAGAUUGAAGAUGAAGAUGAAGAUUUGAUGAGCGACGAUUAUUGACCACCAAUCUAUCGAACGAAACAUCUUGUGAAGUCGACUGCAUUAUCUACGGAGAAGUUACAAUUUUUAGCAAAACGUUUGCGAUAAAACGGGCCUGCUGAUUUGGUUGAUACCAACCAGCGCACACUUGCCGAACACAGUUGCAGAAACACAAAUGCUACACUUGAACAAACGACGCUUCAUAGCCCUUCCCUGAUCAGAGGUUUCUUCGCCGAACUAGUGCUUCAAGAAAGUUGUUCCACGAAGACCUGUUACACGUCGCAGUUAGUAAUCCAUCCUGAUACAAUAGAGAGAGAGAUAGGCAUUUCACUACAUCAAACAUGACGAAUGGGUUAUCUACACACCGUAUCUGCUUCAGUGCGCGCACGGGGAUGUUUGCUUCACCGCCAGAAAAUUCUGAGAACAGCAGUCAUUCAGCAAGAAUCGUUGCUAUGCACAAAUAUUCAUCUGCAACUUCCAUGACAACUCAUCGAUGUUCAAUCCAUUGUUAGGCGAGUCUUCUACUAGUUGACGGCCGUACCCCUGACUAAUGCAUAUGGCAUGCGUACCUGGAAAUCUGAAGUGGUCUGAAUGAAGAAACCGGUCGCUACUGAUGAAUCACACCAGACUUCGACCCAGAGCAGCUUAACCUACGCUUAGGCGUACCUAACGUGUGAUGUUGCUGAUGGCUGGCUCAUCCACUCUUAGAAUCAACAUGGCUAUUCAUUUCCUUCCGAGCUUAUGCUAGAGAAGCUCGUUACAGUAACCCUGUAGUCUGCGUGCCGCCGUUGCUUCUUGAUGGAACAUGGAUUGUUUUACACAAUCUGGCGGCCAAUCGAUCUCAUGAACCACAACGGGGAAAAUCAGCAAAGGCAACAGAGAGGUUCCCACUGAUGUAACCGUCUCGGCUGAUACGCGGAGACACACGGAAGUCUCACGGCAAGGCUGCUGUCAGACGAGUCCUGAUAAAUGUCACUCUUCUUCACCUGUUUCGCUGAAAAGAGUUUCAUAAGAUCGGCUCCCAUACUGGAUUCGGAGCACAAUUGGAUACCCCGACUCGGACGUUGGUUCGCAGAAUGGCGUACAUUGAAUCAGCGUGUUCGUCAUGUGGAAACGGUCUACUACCCCCUGAGUAAAGGUUUUCUUUUCCCCACCCUGUGAUGUGUUGGUGCGUUUCGGUUGUGUGGCGUCGUCGUCCCGACGCUUUGGUCGGAUUGCUUUGGAAGGAAGUUUCGCUCGGAAAAGCCCUAGCAAGCGUGAAGAGGAUGCUGAUAGUCGCGAGAAGAUGGGCUCUCAUCGAUGGUUUGGGUUUUGGUUCCGGAUUUUGGGCAGCGGGAAGGCGGGUUCCUGGUGGAGGUGAGGCGGCGGGCGGUGCUGGAGGAGAUGGUUUUGCUCGGCAAGCGAGAAGAACCUCCUGUACACGGACGGUGUCAGAGCAGGUGGCCAUGCGAGAAGAGAGCAAACACCCAACGACGUUUUCCAGGCGGAGUUUUCGGGCGAUGAUCGGCGAGAUGUUUUACAGCCACUGAGAUGUGGAUUACCCUUGUUUUGGGGGGACGAAUGCUUUGGCGCAUCAGUGCGCCGAAUGGCCAGAAAUGAUUUGAAUGUGACAUUUCUGAUUAGCCAAAGUAAGCCUGUGCUAGUUUGCGGUUAGAUGUAAAGCUUUUGAAGAAUCAUUACGUUUCUAAGCGCGGACCGCGAACUGAUGAAAGCGGCGAAUUGUCACAAACCCCUGCAAUGUUACAUCAAAGAUGCAUACUAAUUAUACUACUGCUACUACUCGAGAUAUCUGAAGAUACGAAGAAUGUACGAUCCUCUACCCGUCCUUUUGUAAUAUCGAAACAUCGACAUCACCAUCUACUAGUCAACAAAUAUUCGGCGCCAAAGAAUACGAACUAGCAUAGUCUACUAUAAACUCAUCCUCAAUACCUUGUUGCCUGUUGUUACCAAUUCUGGCGAAACGAGCAGAUGUUAUAAAGGACCUUCUUAAGCGCAAGAAGUAGUUUGCGUACGAACGGCGAGAAAACGCGAGUCUAAUCAGGACACACUACGCUACCAGGAGUAGUUUGCUGCUACUUUUUAAUGAACAAGAGCAAUCAUACGAAUCCAUCCAAAGAAAGGAAAAGUACGUGAGAGAUAUCUAGGAAGACGUUGAUUUUGGUUGUUGGGGCUUGCUUUAACCCCCCUUACUGCGCAAACUGUACUUUUGUUAGCGAAGAACGCGCCACGCUUACGUACCCGCCAAACGUAAACGACAACCGCUAGUAGAAGAAAAUGGUUUCGGAAAAGUACGCACUACAAAACCGCAUUUGAAGACACUUUGCCGGUUAAUCGUUUGUGGAAGAAUUGAAACAGAAUGGCUGCGAACACCAACACUAAAACGAGAGCAGCGUAAUCGUAACUCGGAUCGAAAUAUUUUUGAAACAAGCAUUACAACUGCCUGAACCUUUGAUCAUCUUUAGCUAUUUCACUCGAAGAACAAACAAGCAAAGUAUAGAAGAAAACUACGGCAGGACUUUGUGGGAAUGUGGGUGGGCCUAAGAAAAAAAAACAGUGAAUUAGUAAGAAACAGAGAGAAGAAUCUCAUACUGCUAGCAGCAUAUUGUUGAAGCAACUCGUUUGGAGUUAGUCAAGGCACAACCAAGUGUCAGUGUAACUACUUGAUGCCCAAAAUCGCUCAUAGCACUCUUAGGAGAGGACCGUACAAGAUACUGAUGAUGUUGAAGCAAGUGAAAUUGCAAAUCGCUUUGGAUGUAUUCCCCCUCCACACACACACACACACACAUCUCUCCCUCACACGACAGAGGGAUGUGCGAGGCAAGAUGGCGCACCUUGCGUGAGCCUAGUGUUGGAUUGUAACCAGGACACUACAAAAGCAAAACGAAAAAAAAAUGGCUACACAGUUAAAGAAAACGCUCUCCCCAGUGCAGUGUUUUGUUUCAGAAGUUUCCUAUGUUCUGUGCUUCCUCUCUUGUGAAGAUUGUUUUGUUGUUGUUGUUGUUGUUGCUACCAUAUCCUCCCAUUCCGUUCCCACCCCGGACUUCUCCACCAAAGGGGAUGUCCGGACUCGGACGUGUGGACGGUACAAGUUACCACACCCGGGGGUGUAUGUAAAGUGGGGAGGAUACAGUGAAAACAGUUGAAAACCAAAAAAAAAAAACACACCAAAAGACUUUAAUAAAAAAUGCAUAUUUCCAUUUUUAAACGAAAUCGUUCUUUUUUGUUUGCCCGCAAAACGUGUAGCGAUUGGAAUUCUAGUAGAAGAGUGUACUGUGAUCGUAUUAUAGAACUUUUUUGUCGUUGUUGUACACUUGAGCAGUGGAUUGCUUCCUUUGUCGAAAACAAGAGAAUGAACUGGCUGGCGAACUCUAGCGUGGAACAUUUUGUCUCGACAUGUGCUAUAUAUGCGCUACCUGCCAAGUACACACACCACCAUCGCGCAAUAUGCGGUAGCCAUUUUCGUCCAUCAUACUGUGUUUUUCGUGUUUUUUUUUUCUCUCUCUCUCUCUCUUGUUGUUGCACCGGUGCCUCGAAUUUUGUUUUUUACAUCCGAUACGCUCCAAUCAAGAGCCACAAACCUAUCAACAUACACAGGUCUACCAGAUAUUCCGUGUUGGCGCUUGGAGCCAUGGUGAACCUUGAUCUCGGCAGUUACUGGAGCACGGACCAAGGUGCUUUAUACGUGCAGACGACAUGCAAUAAGCCUCUCGUCUAUACAUAAGACUGUGCAGGGUCACAGCCCUAAACCGAAAGCGAAGGAAGUGAUGAAAGAUCUUGCCACGCGAGGGUGAAUGAGAGACCGGUCUACCUACCUAGUGCCUGUAACCCUUCUUACGUGUAAUACCUCAAACCAGCCCCACACUACUGAUGUGUGUGUGUGUGGUGAGGCCAUAGCUGUGACGACAGUAAAAAAAAAAACGAAGACGAACCGAGGAUUGGGUACAACACAAGAGACACAGGAACAGAGAACUGGCUAUACCUACAUGGGCCCACCAGCUCAGGUGCCAGAAGAAGCUCAGGUAACGUUUGUGAGUACGUUUGUCUAGCUACAGACAACAUCACUUAUACCACCCUAUAUAUAUAUAUCCAUCCAUAUGCCUUUAGAGCGCAAUGCUUACACCACCUUCUCCCCUCUAUCAAUUCUGUUUUUUUUCGAUUUUAGUAUCGGCCGCGCGUAGUAUGUGCGUAGUAUAUUUACGAUAAUGGCUAAUGUUAACUUAGAGCCUGCGGACAGAGCAAACUAGACAGACAGAGAUCGAAGAUGUGUAUAGAACACGUUUCGCGGACACAAGAAGAGCAACCCCGCUCACGGGGACCCACACUCCCCCACAAACCUCUCUACCCUUUCCCCCCCGGUAAAUCGCGUCCAUUGACUACUCUCCUUCCUAAAACUGGAGAUCCUAAAGCUCGAGAUAGAUCAGUAAGCAGUGAGUUGCGUGAAAACUUCCCUAGCAAGACGCGAAUAUAUCUGGUGGCGAACACUAGAGAGUCGGAUCAAGGAUCACUCCUUUAAAUCUAUCGAACGAAAAAGGAUGUACGGAGAGGAAUACCACGGUCGGUAAAAAACCCAAGAGAAGAAAACAUGUGCUACUAAUACGCGAGCAGGAACAAUCGUGAUUUUUGUUGGUGUGUAUAGAGAGGCUCGCAGACGUCAGAUAAGUUGCUCCACGAGUCGAUAUCUCCUGUUAAAGAAGUAGGCAAGUUCCUCAAACUCUCCUCUUUCGCGUAUAACAUCUCCACAAGAUCCACAAGACCCACCAGAGCGUAACACACCAACUUCAUACCGACAAGCUAGAACCUCCCUUCUAACCACACACUCUACACAUCCCCUACCGCCGUGGAACACGAUCCAUCGUCUCCGUACUCCACCACCUGCAUGUGACACACCAGGUGUACGGCGGUGUGUCUAUCCUCCCGUGAUAACACCACCGCUUACCUUUGUCUUUUCGUUUUGUGAAACCUCCAUACUCCACUACUCCUUUUCAACUGUUUUGCUACUACUACUUCCCUCUCCCCAUCCUAGGAGGUCUGUGUCUGCGGUCUGUUAUCUGAGGCACUAUCUGCGUGCGAGUCCGGAUUGGGGACGCGUAACCAUUCGAAGUGGCAGUUGCACUCCUACCUCGCAAUGGUUGCCGUGUCGAUCCGGGCCGAACAGCUGUAGUAGUUACCUGGAACGCACCGCCAGACACACCGACCGGAAGUAGCGUUUACUUUCUUUCUCUCUCAAGUAUUUCAGCCAUCACCAAGCGUGCGGUUGGUGCUGCAACACCACACACCCCAAAGGUUGUGCAAUGUGCGUGUGAUGUGUGACUGUGUGCGUGUGUAUGUUUGUGCUAAAGGAUACGCUUCAGUAAAUACAGCUUUCCGCUAUUACUUCAUACCAUAAGUACAACACCAUCACCAUCGGGUCAUCCGCAUCAUAGACAGUAGUAUCGUGUGCUCAGUGUGUCAAGCUCUCUCUCUCUCUCUGCUCAAAGCAACGUUCUGUGCAACGGAAACAACAACACAUACACAUAGCUACCUAGCAAGUCCGCUUUGGCAAUGCAGCUGUACACCCCCGGUUGGGUGCGUGUUUGGUGCGUAAUGGAGAAGAUGGCCGCGUUCGACGGUCGACGGUUACCUCAGCAGAGUGCGUCUUUUGCAGGUGUUCUGGUGUUUUGCUGUGUAUGUGUGUGUGUGUGUUAGUGGAUUACGCUUUUGUGUGGUGUGGUGAUUGACUCCUAGGGUAAUAGCGCACUAUUUCCUGACAGCUGCCCGGCUGUCAUCACCGUCUGGAUGCAGAGUAAAAAAAGCCGUGUGGGUGUAGUAGUGUGUUGUGUGGGCACUGUCCCUGCCUCAGAGCCGACCCGUAGCGUUCAUCCAUUGCACCUCGGAAUCUCCGGUGACGUGAAACGCUCCUAUGCGCAGUAGUAGCGGUACGAGUAUAUAGCUUCAUAUAGACUAAGAAUUUACGAAUAGAUCCCGUCUGUCAUAUGCCUGCCGCCUACCCCAAGCGUGGCAACGUGAGAGACAGGGCGUUCGCUUGCGCCGCGUGGUUGUGUGGUGCCGGCUGGCUAUCCGUGCUCGCGUGACCUCACCGUGUGUGGCCGAGAUACGCAACAAGGGGGAUGGGGGUUGCUCGGUGGACGUGCCGCUUGUGACAUGUGCUUGGCGUGUGUUGUGAUUCACCUCCACAGGCUUGCCCCCUUCCCCCCAUGUUCGGAUGCACACCGUGAGUAUUGUCCGCGGACGUGAUCAGCUGCCGUGGUCUGAACACCUUUGCACAGUCAUGCCGCCCUCAGUCGGAUCUAUACAGUGUGCCUAGUAUAGCGAGAACGAGCAAUAAUGAAUAUACCAUCACGACGACCGAGCAGAGAACAGUUACGCCAAAAACGAAAACCACCAUCCGCCUCCCCCCUCCCCCCCUCCCAUCCACAAUCAACAAACGAGAGCGUUGACAGGAGCAGGAUCUUAGUGUGUUUCCGAGUAGAGUCUAUAUUGGAGCGGGGAGAGGCCACCACAACACACACUCUACGAUUAGUCUGAUCAGUAACCAACAAAAAAAAAAAGAAAAGACCUGCACCUAACGCUCACAACGAACAACGGCCCCCCCGGUUAUAACGAUACGCCGCCGGUGUGUGUCACCGUGACACAACCAAUCUUUAUUUUACCAACAAAACCAUAAAGAGUCCGAGAUUUGAGUCCCGCUGCUGAUUCGGUGCAAGCGCUCCGGCUGUUGGUGUACGGCGCUUUCGAUCGAGGGGCAGCAUCUGCACAACACACACACUCAACACACGAGCAUAUAGACCCCUACUACCGGUCUUCCUGGUCACGGCACCACGGCAGAACGGUAGCGACGUGUUCGGGACGGGAUGUGACUGGGCAGGCAGUUGUGGUAGGCAUCUCCCUUUAUUCUCCCUCUCGCGUUCAUCCCGGGACUCGAAUGCACCACACGGGAUUCUUCUGAUCGAUGCACAAUUCCGAUGGCGGUUGUUUUGCGCGCGUCGCAAGAUGGUGGCACUACCGGCGCGCCGGGGCUCGGUCGCGUCUGAGAUCCUACCGUCGCGCAGUGAUGUCUGUGGGAAGCGAAGGAUCACCCUCUGAAACACCGAGGAGACGGAUCAGGACCCCAUCGGGAGGUGUGUGGGUGGUCGACGUGUGUGUGUGUCUGCAGGGGCGGUCUCCCCGCAACUCCAUCCACCAACACCCUGUUGCACCCGCGCCAUCCCGCAGUUCCUAACCCGGUUCCAGGAUCCUUAAGUGUUAAUACUCUAAAACAAAACAGCAAAAAAAAAAAACAAAACCAACAAAAACAAACUUAACUCUCUCUAUUACCUCCUGCUCCAAAUGUGAUGGAAUCCGCACUGCGGAUUCGCGGACGCCAUUUUUUCUUUGCUGGUGUGAUAUAUUGACCAUAUUACGCACAGGAUACGAAAAACACGCGCCAUACAUGGACCACUCUUUUACUCACUCUAUCUUUAAGCUCUCUCUAAUCCUAUAAAUCCUGCGUACAUAUCGUAAUCAUAAGCUGCUGCUGCUGCCGUCCGUCAAAAAAACCGCCAUCAACGUCGUUUACCACCUUCCUCUCUAUCCGUCGUAGUUGUUAAGAACGAGCCAGCCAAACCAAAAAAAACAAACUACAACUUUCGGUUUCAUCUUCUUUUUUUUUGGCCACGUGCAUUUAAAGGCGAUCGGUACGGCCGGCGACUGUUCCCGGUGUCGGUAGUUUGCCAGGAGGUUUUACCGGCGGGCGUAUACCUUUACAACGUCCCCCGCAGCCUUCCGCAACUGCACUGCACGUCUGCGGUCCUGUGUGACGGCCGCAUCGGAUUGUGUCGAUCGGGGAAGAAUUCUGUACGGGAAGCCAUUUUGUUUUGCUUUGCAUUUGCUGUCGCCGAUGGGAUGAGUCCCUGGAAUCGUUGUAGUAUAAUCCUACUCCCUCUACUCACAAGCAGCGUCUCGCCUCACCGUCCAUCUCUCUCACAUCUCGGAUAAUCCGGAGCACUUGCGAACUUCGCGCGGGAGUGUCGUCUGCCGUCCGCCAGAUUAUCGUCCACACCCUCCCGCUACCAGUGAAGGAUCAAACCUGUUUUUGUUUUACUUUUAAGUUCACUGUUUCUUAUUUUACCACACCGCAUACAUCCGCACAUCCGCCCUCUUUCUGCGGGUUGGUGCAUGUGUGUGUGUGUGUGUAUGUGUAAGUGUUCGGUGACCGCGCGCGCGCACGCGCGCAACACACACACGCGACUCCUAUUCUCCCUUCUCUGCGCGCGCAUCCUGCUGUCCAGCAUCCGUUACAAACGGUUUACGCGGCCACCCGGGGUGGGCAGGGUUCGACGGUACGGACUCUCUCUCGAUCAAGAUCGCUAAAAGACAACGACGCGCUUCCCGCUGCUGCACCUGCCCCUGCCCACCAUGCACGGCCACAAAAACCGACCGACGUGUCAACAUCAGCCAGUCGUACGUACCCGUGCCGCACGCGUUUACUAUAUUCGCUGCUGCCUCGUACACUUUUUUUGUUGUUGGUUUCCCACCAUGAUCUGGGUACGGGAGUAGGCGCACACUUGGUAAGUCUGGGCGGGACGACAUACGGCCACCGUCUAGUUGUUGGGAUGCUCUGCCAGGUGUGUGAAGUUGCGGCGGAGGUUUGACGUCCUUCCAUUCCACCUCCCCAGCGUAUCCUUCCGCCAUCUUUCAUCUUUACCUGAAGUAGUAUUAAUAUGGAGCUUAGUGGAGCAACUUUUUCGGACUUCCCUGAUUGUCUGUCGGGCGCCUUCUUCUACACUCCAAAAAGCGAUCACACCAUCCUGAACCACGAUGCGAUUAGUACCGGGAAAACGGAAAACCGAAUAGAACGAAACAAAAAUUCGAAACUGCCGAACAGAGCGCGCGAAAAUCACGGAAAGGAAAAUACGAAAUAUCAACUCCAACUUCAACCCGCGGGAACAAAACACACAGAGAACGCGCGCGAUAAUAUAUCAUUGAUGAACCAUGAAAGAAGCGAGAGAAACUAAAGAAAAUACUCAAAGAAACAAACAAACAAACAAAAACCCCUUUAAACUAUAUACCCGAUAAAGCAAAGCAACCCGAUAAAGAAACAAACCCGCGCGGAAGCGAACAGCCGGAUUCGCUCACUCAUAAAUAAAGAAAACACUAAAUUAAAGGACAUGUGGGACGAGGGCGGGCUAAAAACAAACAAAUAAUAAUAUUGCAACUACUAUUAGCGAUCGCGCUUCUCGACACGUUAAUAUGGUUAAUAAAUGUUUGCUUUUGUUUACG
This is a long non-coding RNA of Anopheles stephensi (Asian malaria mosquito), 12098 nucleotides long. RefSeq lists it as uncharacterized. The record is from RefSeq and is a predicted model, not a curated record. NCBI's taxonomy places the organism in Eukaryota, Metazoa, Arthropoda, Insecta, Diptera, Culicidae. The transcript has 2 exons.